RNAcentral lists this ribosomal RNA (915 nucleotides) under uncultured marine archaeon. Its description in RNAcentral is "bacterial SSU rRNA". It matches the Rfam family "Archaeal small subunit ribosomal RNA", at positions 1 to 921 of the family's 1478-position model. The record is from RNAcentral.
UUCCGGUUGAUCCCGCCGGAGGCUACCGCUAUUGGAGUUCGAUUAAGCCAUGCGAGUCGCGAGAAAUUAGAUUCUCGGCGUACCGCUCAGUAACACGUGGGUAACCUGCCCUAUGCUGGAUAAUAACCUCGGGAAACUGAGAAUAAUGAUCCAUAGUUCACUACGCCUGGAACGGUGAGUGGAUGAAAGCUCCGGCGGCAUAGGAUGGGCCUGCGGCGUAUCAGGUUGUAGGGGGUGUAACGUACCCUCUAGCCCUCUACGCGUACGGGUGUUGGGAGACAUAGCCCGGAGAUGGAUUCUGAGACACGAAUCCAGACCCUACGGGGUGCAGCAGGCGCGAAAACUUGGCAAUGCGAGAAAUCGUGACCAGGGAACUCCAAGUGCAUGGGGUAAGACCCAUGCUUUUCUUGACUCUAAAUAGGUCUUGGAAUAAGGGGUGGGUAAGGACGGUGCCAGCCGCCGCGGUAAUACCGGCGCCUCAAGUGGUAGUCGCUUUUAUUGGGCCUAAAACGUCCGUAGCCGGUCUGAUACAUUCGUGGGUAAAUCAACCAGCUUAACUGGUUGAAUUCUGCGAGGACGGUCAGACUUGGGACCGGGAGAGGUGUGGGGUACGCUCAGGGUAGGGGUAAAAUCCUGUCAUCCUGAGCGGACCACCUGUUGCGAAGGCGCCACACUAGAACGGAUCCGACGGUCAGGGACGAAGCCUAGGGGCACGAACCGGAUUAGAUACCCGGGUAGUCCUAGGUGUAAACGCUGUGGACUUGAUGUUGGGGGUGCUCCGAGCACUCUCAGUGUCGAAGCGAAGGUGAUAAGUCCACUGCCUGGGAAGUACGGUCGCAAGGCUGAAACUUAAAGGAAUUGGCGGGGGAGCACCGCAACCUGAGGAUUGUGCGGUUUAAUUGGAGUCAACGCCGG